Molecule: long non-coding RNA, 4074 nt
Organism: Oncorhynchus tshawytscha (Chinook salmon)
Lineage: Eukaryota; Metazoa; Chordata; Actinopteri; Salmoniformes; Salmonidae
Source: Ensembl
GGGGGGAGGAGAGAAGAAAAGAGGGGGGGAGAGAAGAAAAAGAGGGGGAGGAGAGAAGAAAAAGAGGGGGAGAAGAACAAGAUGGAUGGAGCUUGUAUUAAUCCAACUGUGGACCCCUCUUUCAGAGGGUCAGUCCUACACAGUCCUACACGUUUGAUUAGUGUGUGUGUGUGUGUGUGUGUGUGUGUGUGUGUGGGUUUAGGGCUAGAAUCUGUAACCGGAUUGAGCGUUACAGUAUAUAAUAAGUACUAAGCCAUCACGGUCUUGGGUUAAGUCCUCUAUUUCUCUUCUCCAACUCCCUUUCUCUCUCCCUCUUCUUUCUCUCUCUUUCUUUCUCUCUCCCUCUUCUUUCUCUCUCUUUCUUUCUCUCUCCCUCUUCUUUCUCUCUCUUUCUUUCUCUCUCCCUCUUCUUUCUCUCUCUUUCUUUCUCUCUCCCUCUUCUUUCUCUCUCUUUCUUUCUCUCUCCCUCUUCUUUCUCUCUAUCAUGGUCCUUGUUUUUCGUGAAGAAUAUAGAGGUACAGCAGAGAUUAAUAGUAGUAGGAAUAGUGAUGACCAUUACUGUAAUAACCAUAGUAUAUGACCACAGUAUACAGUAUUACCGUAAUAACCGUAAUAGGCACAGUAGAUGAUAGUAGUAACCAUAGUAUACAGUAUUACCGUAAUAACCACAGUAUAUUACAGUAGUAACCAUAGUAUACAGUAUUACCGUAAUAACCAUCAUAAGCACAGUAUAAGACAAUGGUAACCAUAGUAUACAGUAUUACCGUAAUAACCACAGUAUAUUACAGUAGUAACCAUAGUAUACAGUAUUACCGUAAUAACCAUCAUAAGCACAGUAUAAGACAAUGGUAACCAUAGUAUACAAUAUUACCGUAAUAACCACAGUAUAUUACAGUAGUAACCAUAGUAUACAGUAUUACCGUAAUAACCACAGUAUAAGACAAUAGUAACCAUAGUAUACAGUAUUACCGUAAUAACCACAGUAUAAGACAAUAGUAACCAUAGUAUACAGUAUUACCGUAAUAACCACAGUACUUCAGAAAGAGUAAAAACUCUGCAUACCUCUAAGGGAGUGUAAUACUAAGGUAGCUGAAAACCAUAGAAUUAGAAUGAGCAGAAGGUGCAUAGAACCUUGGACAAUGGCAAUUUGACAUUAUGGCCUCAUUGACUUGAAUAGAGAAAUCCCAUUCUAGUCAUUCUAUUUCUGUGCUGAAAACACAGAGUCUCCAGAAUACAAGGCAAACCAACACUGAGUUUCUUCGUAGUUGUUUUUAAUAUAGUUCCAGUAACUAAAUAUUUUAAACAAGUGUCACUUGACUAUGGAUUAAUAAUGUUAUAAUUUACUUUUUUUCUUUAUUUUUUCUCCUUCUUCUUCCAUCUUUAUAAGUUGUUGUUUGGUUUUUCCUGAAGGAAUGACGUCAGAAAAAGAGCGCCCAGAUAGUCGGUCAUCCGGAGUCGUUCUGUCUCGGUGUUGUUGCUGAGGGACAGAGCAGGGUUAGAACAGGGGGGUUCUCCCUGUCUUUGUCCAUGUUGCUGAGGGACAGAGCAGGGUUAGAACAGGGGCGUUCUCCCUGUCUUUGUCCAUGUUGCUGAGGGACAGAGCAGGGUUAGAACAGGGGGGUUCUCCCUGUCUUUGUCCAUGUUGCUGAGGGACAGAGCAGGGUUAGAACAGGGGCGUUCUCCCUGUCUUUGUCCAUGUUGCUGAGGGACAGAGCAGGGUUAGAACAGGGGCGUUCUCCCUGUCUUUGUCCAUGUUGCUGAGGGACAGAGCAGGGUUAGAACAGGGGGUUCUCCCUGUCUUUGUCCAUGUUGCUGAGGGACAGAGCAGGGUUAGAACAGGGGGUUCUCCCUGUCUUUGUCCAUGUUGCUGAGGGACAGAGCAGGGUUAGAACAGGGGGGUUCUCCCUGUCUUUGUCCAUGUUGCUGAGGGACAGAGCAGGGUUAGAACAGGGGGUUCUCCCUGUCUUUGUCCAUGUUGCUGAGGGACAGAGCAGGGUUAGAACAGGGGGGUUCUCCCUGUCUUUGUCCAUGUUGCUGAGGGACAGAGCAGGGUUAGAACAGGGGGGUUCUCCCUGUCUUCGUCCAUAAGGGGCGCUCUAGCUCAAUAGCACCAGGCGUUGUGUUUUCUCCUUCUGAUUGAGAGCCACAGAAGCACAGCCCUACUCUCAGAAGCACAGCCCUACUCUCAGAAACACAGCCCUUACUCUCCGUGCCGGGAGCAGUUUGGAAAAGGUUCCGGAAUCGUGUGGUGAAAGGAGUCUUAGAACAUUAGAACACAGCAACAGAACGCAGAACCAACAGAUCCACUGUCCAUUCUAUCCAGGGUAAGAGGUGUGUGAGAAAGAAGGAUGAGUUAGCAUCAGUAUUCGAUUCACAGUCUUAGUGGAUCCAGAGUCCACUAUCCUCUCCUGUACGUACACACUCAGACAUUCACACACACACUAUCCUAUGUCCCUUCAUCUCUGUUCUUUCAGACAAUCCAUCAUCCUAUUGUACUUGUACCAUGGAUGGUUGGUCUGGAUAAACGGAUGGAUGCACAACGCAGGGAAAGGAUGAAAGGAAACACUCCUUUGUAAAAGUGGGAGGAAACGGGGAGGAAUUUGAGCGUAGCACACUUGGACGUAAUGCCAACACGCAUCCUUCAUUUCCUUCCUAGCAAUCAUUGACAUUCAGGCUGUGUCGUCUGUAAACCUGAAGCUCAGAUGGUAGAGGGAAUGGGAGGGGUAAGGAGGGAGGGAGGACGGGUGGAGAGGAGGGGGAGGAGGAGGAAGAGGAGAGGAGGAGGGAGAGGAGAGAAGAGAAGGAGGGAGCAGGGGAGGGGAGGAGGAGGGGGAGGAGAGGAGGAGGGGAGGAGGGAAAGGAUGGGAGAUGAAAGGAAGGGGGGAGGUGAGGAGUGGGGCUGCACUAUGGGCAGAGAGAGACAGAGCAUGAAUUCCAGCUGGGGAGGAGGAGAAGAGUAGAAGGAAGGUAAAGGAGAGGAAAAGGCUGCAGUAUCACCACUGCACAACAUGGACAGUGUGAGAGAGAAAGCGUGUGGCGAGGGCACAAAGAACUGGGUGAUGCAUCCUUAUCCUGUUUUAUUGUUCUCUAUGUCAGACAGCUCUAUUCUUGUUUUGUCUCUGUGAGUUUUGAGAUAGUUGUUCGAACAGUGUGUUCUAAUCUAAUUUCUGGAAUCCCCUUAGUUCUAGAAUCCCCUCAGUUCUGGAUUCCCCUCAGUUCUGGAAUCCCCUCAGUUCUGGAAUCCCCUCAGUUCUAGAAUCCCCUCAGUUCUAGAAUCCCCUCAGUUCUAGAAUCCCCUCAGUUCUGGAAUCCCCUCAGUUCUAGAAUCCCCUCAGGUCCAGAAUAACCUCUCAGGUCCAGAAUAACCUCUCAGGUCCAGAAUGUCUCCAAAGAGUACAGCCACGUCCUCUCCUUAGGACGGAUGAAUUAACCCCUUCUCUGCAGACACACACACACAUACAGUAGACAUGCCCCAAUGACCCUCCUCUAGUAAUAAACCCCCUGGGGGUUUUCUGGCGUAGCAGUCCAAUGGUCCUAACAGAGACCUGUAGUCUAAACCUGUUUAAUCAACCCAACCUGUAUCAGACUCUCCCUUAGGAAAGAUCCACAGGGUUCCAUUCUGUGUACUCUUUCACUCAUCACUCCUGCAUGCGUUUGGUUAUCCUUUCCUGCACGCACGCACACGUAAACACAUAAACACACACGCUGACAGCAGUGCGGGGAGAUCCAUAGGGAAGGUUUGGGUGUGUGUACUGCUGGGUGUGUGUACUACUGUUCACUGUUAGUCCUACAGUAAUUGUAUUGUACUACUGCUGUUACUAGGACUAGUAUACAUAGUCUCUUCAAACAGUUCGAGCUGUUCUAUUUCAGGUUAUACGGAGGGUAUGAAUAUCGUUGUACAAGUUAAAUAUGUAUGGCCUUCUAUCUCGCAAUAAAUGUUUUUAACAUAAACCAAACAUAGAACACGGAUGACACAGGCGUUGAUGUGCCGUCGUUGUUGUGAACUACCUCUGUAUGCCGUCGUUGUUGUGAACUAGCUCUGUAUGCCGUCGUUGUUGUGAACUACCUCUGUAU